CCUACGGGUGGCUGCAGUGAGGAAUAUUGGUCAAUGGGCGAGAGCCUGAACCAGCCAAGUCGCGUGAAGGAUGACGGCCCUACGGGUUGUAAACUUCUUUUGUCAGGGAGCAAUUGGGUCCACGCGUGGGCUUAGCGAGAGUACCUGAAGAAAAAGCAUCGGCUAACUCCGUGCCAGCAGCCGCGGUAAUACGGAGGAUGCGAGCGUUAUCCGGAUUUAUUGGGUUUAAAGGGUGGGUAGGCGGAAUAUCAAGUCAGCGGUAAAAAUUCGGGGCUCAACCCCGUCGUGCCGUUGAAACUGAUGUUCUUGAGUGGGCGAGAAGUAUGCGGAAUGCGUGGUGUAGCGGUGAAAUGCAUAGAUAUCACGCAGAACCCCGAUUGCGAAGGCAGCGUACCGGCCGGUCACUGACGCUGAGGCACGAAAGCGCGGGUAUCGAACAGGAUUAGAUACCCUUGUAGUC
This 460-nucleotide ribosomal RNA is filed under the name uncultured bacterium. RNAcentral's name for it is "partial 16S ribosomal RNA". It matches the Rfam family "Bacterial small subunit ribosomal RNA", at positions 338 to 795 of the family's 1533-position model. The record is from RNAcentral.